RNAcentral lists this long non-coding RNA (21824 nucleotides) under Hordeum vulgare. Its description in RNAcentral is "long non-coding RNA (HVUL_LNC001532)". The record is from RNAcentral. Lineage: Eukaryota; Viridiplantae; Streptophyta; Magnoliopsida; Poales; Poaceae.
CCUAGGCCGCUGGACGCCGACGGCUGCCGAUACAGCUGCAGGUCGGGUGCCUGGAUACGGCGUAAUCACCAAUAUCAUCAACGGCGGGCUCGAGUGCGGCAUGGGCCAGAACGACGCCAACGUCGACCGCAUCGGCUACUACACGCGCUACUGCGGCAUGCUUGGCACGGCCACCGGAGGCAACCUCGACUGCUACACCCAGCGAAACUUCGCUAGCUAGACACUAUGGAUAGUGUAUGCACGUGUUACGAAUAAAGGGCUACACUCAUGAAUAAGGGGCAACACAUAUCCCAUCAUGAAAUAAAUAAUUCGAUAUGUGAUCCAGUUGAUCGUGUCGUAUGAUAAUACGAGUAAGUUGUUGUAACAAAUUAUGUAAAUUGUUCAAUAAAAUCAUAUCAUUACAACUGGUUUUUUAAAUAUGGUACACUAAAAAUAAUCCACAUACACGAGUAUACACUCAUCUCUAUAAAGAUACGCAUGCAUAUCCUAUUCUAUCCAUAUGAGCACCUUCGAAAGACUGGCCCAACACAUCAUCUUGAUAUUGACAAAGUCAUCACAUAUACCUUCAUAGUCGACGGAAAUGUCUCUUCUCACUAAACGCACAUGGUUGAAAACCAGAAAUAAAUGAAGAAAAAUAGGAACACUAAUGUCAUGUAUGGACUUGAACUCUAGUGAAUAUACAUAUCACUCUCUUUCUAACCAUCAAAGCACAGAUUGGUAUCAUUGUUUUAUUUUGUUGUAUGUGAGAGGAUGUAUAGCAGACCAACUAACGUGACAAAUAUUUUACUUGUUUAAUCAGUUCUUCAUAACAAAAAGGAAAGAAAAGUCAGGAUUUAUGAAAUGAAUGAGGCUAACGCGUGUUUCGUUGCAUCGGUCUUCACUCGUUUUUUUAGAAAAGGAGGAUGAUCCCCGGCCUCUGCAUCUGGAAGAUGCAUGCGGUCAUUUUAUUGAUUAUUCUCGAGGACCUUACAAAGCAGUACAACAAUAUGCCUGAAUCCGCCAUCUUGGCAACAUCUGCCGCUACUCCUAUCCAUAUGAUGAAGGGGUGCAAGCUGGACCAAAUACCCAGACCUCUCACCUAAGCCUAACAUCUAAAGCCGGAUACCCUGACCGAGCCACAUACCGGGUCCGGGGCACAAACCGGUCCGACGCACUCACAUGUGUCGUCGCCGCCAUCUUCCAUUGCUCCAUCUUCAGAUCAGAUUGAGGUACCAGCCUUGGCAGGUGCCUCCUCCAUCGACGCCAUCAUGAUGCCAAACGACGACAUCCACCAACGCGAGUCCAUCUCCAAGCAACUGACGAAGAUCCAUGCUAGGAUAGGGCCGCAUCACCGCCGUCGCCCACCACCCACAAGCGCCACCCAGCCCCAAGGUUCCCAAAGCGACGCCUUCAAGAAGGGAACGGCGCCGUGAGCGCCGCCGCCGCCCAACAAAGUUAGGGCUUUCGCCGGGAGACCUAGGGGAAGGGGAAGUGAGGGGAUCAGUCCAUACCAACGCCUCCAAGGAGGGGAACGACGCCCUCGGGCGUCGCCGUCGACGCGGCCGGCCAUGGCCGACCAGGGAUUUCGCCCGACCUAGAUCCCCACCACCAGCAGCACCUCCUGUACAAAACCGGCAAUCCAAGGAAGCGCGGCCCGACCAGGCUGGCCCACACGCCGAACAGGGAAGGAGGGGAGGCGCUAGAUCGCGCGCACCGGCCACCGCAAAAGCCGCCACCAGACGUCAGCGACCACCGGAUCCCGCCGCCCGCGUGGCCGAGACGCCGGAUCCACCUCCCGCACGGCUGCUAGCCUACCGUGCCUCGCCAAUGAAGCCGCCGUUCCAGAUCCGGAACUCCACAUGCAGAGGCAGGGUAACCUAGGCCCCGCCGCCACCAUCCUUGGCGCCCCGGGCUUGCCCGGCGGCUGCCUCAGGCGGCGGCGAGGAAGGGAUGGGGAGGGGGAGGCGGCUAGGGUUGGGAUGGAGGGAGCGUGGGAUUAACUUUAUAUAUAUAUCAGUUUACUGCAGACAGUUGUUUGAUUUUGGCUUUAUCAGUUGUCUUGAGUUUUAGUUAUAUUUUGGUGGUGGUUUUUUCCUUUCAUAUAUUUUGUUGGCUUUUGUUGAAAAUGAUUUUUUUAGAUGAGAUUAGAGUUGUUCGAUGUGGGGUUUUGGGGUCUUCAAACCUUUCGGCCUUGGAGUCAGCCGAGGAUGGUUUCAUGAGCCCUUUGGGAGCUCUCAUUCCAUACUAAAAUUGUAGAAUCGCUCCUAAGAGCAUCUCUAAUAGGGCAGCCUCUUUUCAAUUAUAGGGCAGGCAAAAUCGAGAUAUAGGACAGCAAAACAACAGUCGUUUUACCAGCAGCCCAAGAUAGGGCAGCACCCGCCCCAGCAGCCACUACUAAGAAAAGGGCUAUAGAUGAUAUAGAUAUUAAUGCCGCACCACACAAGCCGUGCGCCACUACUAUAUAAUAAUGGCGUACCAUGUGAGGUGUGCCAUUAGUGUGGUGGAUAUUAAUGGCGCACCACACUCUCGGUGCGCCACUACUAUAUAUAUAUAUAUAUAUAUUUUUGCAAAACUACUAAUGGUGCACCAGCACCUGGUGCGCCAUUAGUAACCUGGUUACUAAUGGCACAUAUGUUAGUAGUGCGCCACUACUAUAAAAAAAAUUGGUUUUUUUUUGCAAACUACAAAUGGCGCACCAAAGCUAGUGCGUCAUUAGUAAGCAGUGUUACUAAUGGCGCAUCUAUUGGUGGUGCACCACUACUAUUUUUUUUACAGAACUACUAAUGGUGCACCAGAGGAGGUGCGUCAUUAGUAACCAGGGUUACUAAUGGCGCAUAUGUAGGUGGUGCGCCAUUAGUAACCUGGGACCAGCUAGAUAUUUUGGACAACCACCUACCACACUCACUUUCCCCACUUUCAUUCUCUCCACCUCCUCCUCCAAGCUUGUCUCAGGUGCCUCCUCCUCCUCACCUCAUUUGCAUCAUAGAUUCACCCAAAUUAAGUGGUUAAAUUACCUUUUUUUGAUAGGUAAGUAAGGGGAAAGCUUUUAUGUUGUAGAUCUACUUUUUUCUCCCUCCAACAACGUGCACAUGCACUUUUUAUGGCCUAGCUAGAUCUACGUAUGUUUGUUGUGUUGCAUAUGUUUGUGGUGUUGCAUAUUUGUUUGUGUUUGCAGGUACCGGUAUUUGAAAUGCGAUAGUUGCCAAUAUUUUCCCGGAAUGUUGAUUCAUUUCCGUUUCGGUGAGAAUUUGGCACUAUGCAUUCUUUUUUGUCCUAUUUUUAGGCAAAGUCAUGCCAAAAAAAAAUUUUGGUUAUAAAAUAUCAUUUUGCUUUACCCCGCACGCGACCAUGGUCCGCACGAUGACCGAAGGCAUCGUGAAUAGGUUUUUGAGCUCCGCGAAGGCCGAGAUGCUUCAAAAGAACGAGACGAAGAUAAGAUGUCCGUGUCGAAGAUGCAAGCUGAAGAGCCUUAUGGACCCGGAUUCCGUAAAGGUGCGGGACCACCUGCUCUUGCGUGGUUUCAUGGAUGGCUAUCGGUGGCAAGGUGAUGAAGAUGAUUAUGAAGUCGUCCAUGGGGGCCGGGAAAGAAAUGAGGAAGGGCAUGAGCAAGACAACCGCGGCGAGGGCGGGCGAGAAGACGAAGAAUCUCCAGGACACAGUCAUCAUGUAGAAGAUGCCGGACAUGAUGAUGAGGAAGAUGCCGGAGCAGACGAAGGGCAUGAUCAUGAAGAUGAAGAUGCCGGAGCAGACGACGAUGGACCAUCCAUGCCCUGGGUGCAGGACCCUCAUAUUCAAGAGCUGCUUCUCAAGCAGACGGAUAACGCAAGAGCUGCCGCCCGAGAGAAAGCCAAGCUGGAUCAACUUGAGAUAGACGCGGUUACUCCAUUGUAUGAAGGAUGCAGGCCCGAGGAUACCCGCCUGAAAGUAAUGCUCAUGGCUCUGGAGAUGAAGGUAAAACACAAAAUGACCGACGCAUGCUUCGACGAGAACAUGUCAUUCUGGCACGAACGUCUUCCCAAGGGGAACAACUGCCCGACCAGUUUCGAGGAGGCAAAGAAAAUCGUGUGUCCUCUGGAUUUACCGCACGUGAAAUACCAUGUGUGCAUGAACAAUUGCAUCAUUUAUCGGGACGAGCACGCGGAGUCUACCAUAUGUCCGGUGUGCAGCGUCAGUCGAUACAAGAAGAGGAAGAAAGCUCCUCAAAAAGUGGUGUGGUACUUUCAUAUCACUCCUCGUCUGCAACGGUAUUUCGCGGACCCUAAGGUAGCAAAGCUCCUGCGUUGGCACGCGGAUAGGGAGGAGAAAAAGCGAGAAGAUGACGGAAAUGAUCCGGAGAUAAAUAAAAAAGACAAGAUGCUGAGUCACCCUAAGGAUGCGAGCCAGUGGCAAGCGUUGAACUACGAAUACCCAGAAUUUGGGGACGAUCCAGGGAACAUCGUGCUGGGCGCGAGCACCGAUGGAGUCAAUCCGUUUGGCAGCCAGAAAAUCACACAUAGCACCUGGCCUGUGUUUGUGUGGAUGUACAACCUUCCCCCUGGUUGUGCACGAAGAGGAAGUACAUUCACAUGAGUAUGCUAAUUGAAGGGCCUAAACAACCAGGGAACGACAUCAAUCUAUAUCUGGGGCUGUUGAAAGAGGAGCUAGACACGCUGUGGAAAACGCGAGCCAAUACGUGGGACGCCGCAGAGAAAGAAUAUUUCCCUAUGAGAGCCGCACUGCUCCCGACGGUGCACGACUAUCUCGGUUAUGGAUAUGUCGCGGGGCAGGUGGUCCACGGGUUUUCUGGAUGCGUCAGGUGCAUGGAUGACACAAUGUAUCGCCAGCUAGAUAGAGAUCCCGGGUCUUCAAAAACCGUGUUCAUGGGACCUCGAAGGUGGCUUCGCAACGAUGACACAUGGAGAAAACGCAAGGAUCUGUUCGAUGGUGAAACCGAACCCCGAAGACGCCCCCUUAUGAGGAGCGGCGAGGAAAUAUACGAGCUGUUGAAAAAUUGGAAAAAGUGCCCACCGCCGGGAAAGGCGCUAGAGCCGGGAAAGAAGCGAAAGGCGCUAGAGCCGCUCCUGAAGGUAUGGAAAACGAGGUCUGUUUUCUGGGACUUGCCGUACUGGAAGAUCCUCCGUGUGCCUCACAGCCUUGAUGUCAUGCAUAUCAUGAAGAACGUGUGCAAGAGUCUGCUUGGUACCCUGCUCAACAUGCCAGAGAGGACCAAAGAUGGACCGAAAGCAAGGGCAGACUUGAAAUCAAUGGGCAUCAGGGAGGAGCUUCAUGCUAAUAAUGAUGAUGAUGAUGAUGAUGAGGCGAAGCAGGACACGGAAAGUCGUCGCAAAGGCAAAAAGUACAAGAAGACCGGAAAUGACUUUCCUCCCGCGUGCUUCACUCUAAGUCAGGAGGAGAUCGAUCAGUUUUUCACCUGCCUCAUAGGAGUAAAACUUCCUUACGGUUACGCGGGGAAGAUAAGCAGAUACCUAGACUCAGCGAAGCAGAAGUUUAGCGGGAUGAAGUAUCACAACUGUCACGUGCUGAUGACGCAGAUACUUCCAGUUGCAAUCCGUGGGAUCAUGGACGCGCACGUCCGUGAAAUGCUUUUUGACCUAUGCAACUUUUUCGACGUCAUCUCUCGGAAGUCGGUUGGCGUGAGGCAACUCAGAAGGCUACAGGAAGAGAUCGUGGUGAUACUAUGCGAGCUUGAGAUGUACUUCCCGCCCGCAUUCUUCGACGUUAUGGUGCAUCUGCUGGUCCAUAUCGUGGAGGAUAUCAUCCAACUCGGGCCGACGUUCCUGCACAUCAUGAUGCCGUUCGAAAGGAUGAAUGGUGUCAUCAAAGGAUACGUCCGCAACAUGUCACGUCCAGAGGGAAGCAUAGCCAGGGGCUUUCUGACCGAAGAGUGCAUCUCCUACUGCACGAAUUAUCUAGGCAUCGAGAACCUCGUUGGUCUGCCCGUCAACAGGCACCUCGGCAGGCUCGCAGGAUGGGGUCACCGUGAGGGUCGCCGCGAAAUGCAUGUCGACUUCGAGGGUCGACUCGCCGACUUUGAAAGAGCAAACCUAGUCGCGCUACAACACAUAGACGUGGUCGAUCCUUGGGUCGUAGAGCACAAAACCUUUAUUGAAAAGACGUACAAUGACCGAGGCCAACAGAGGACGGACGGAGAUAUAAUCAAAGAGCACAACUCAUGUUUAACGCGUUGGUUCAAGCAGAAGCUUUUGUCGUAGCCUUUACAUGAGGAUUCUUCCGCGGAAGAACAACUCAUAUUCGCCUUGUCACAGGGCGCCGAGCACAACCUGAUGAUGUAUGAGGCGUACGAUACCAACAGCUACACAUUCUACACCGAGGGAAAGGACAUGAAGAGCGAUGGUUAUCAGAACUCCGGGGUAACGAUGGAAUCCUACACCGGUAACGACAAGGACAGAUACUACGGAAGGAUCGAGGAGAUCUGGGAGCUGAGCUGCGCUGGAGAGAAGGUCCCGAUGUUCCGUGUCAGAUGGGCCAAGAGCGUCAUAAAAGAAGACCGGUAUUUCACCACCAUGGUUAUACCCGAAGCCAAAUCCAAGACCGCGGGCGCAAAAGUCACCGCGAAAAAUGAGCCAUGGGUACUGGCUUCCCAAGUGGACCAAUGCUUCUUCAUUACCGACCCGCCAAAGCCCAGUCGUGUUGUCGUGAGGAGAGGCAAAAGGAAGAUCAUCGGAAUGGAUGGAGUCGCCAAUGAGCAAGACUUCGACAAGUACGGCGACCCGAAGAUGGAACAUGACGACGAUGAUGAAGUACCAGCAUACACCACAAGAAGAAGCAGGACCACCCUACCUAAAGGACGUCCGUUCAAGAGAAGAACUCCAUUUACGAAAAAUAAGGGCAAGAAGAUUGUGAACAAAUAGCUAGCUAAGAUCGAUUAUAUUUAAAUUUGAUGAUAUUUUUUCAUAUUCAAUAUGAAAAAAUAUUGAAUAUUCAUGAGGACACUCGAUCUCGAUCCCCUCCAUCUCGAUCGCUAUCACCCCUCGCAAGAUCCCCCUCGCCGCCGAGCACCCCCCGCACCCUCCCCCGCUCCACCACCGUCGCCGUCGGCAUACUUACCACUAGAACACCUAUUCAGAAGAUACUAGGCACUUCUCAAAAAAAUACUAGGCACUUCUCAAACCAAGGUGCAACCAGCACAAGAAAACAAUGCAAAAAAAAUAAAAAUACUAGGCACUAGAUGUUGUUGUGAGGCACUAGAUAUUCAUAGGCAUCUAAUUGCAAACAUAAAAAAAAAUACUAGACAUCUACUUGCAAACAUAAAAAAAUUUACUAGGCACUUCUCAAACCAAGGUGCAACCAGCACAAGAAAACAAUGCAUAGAAAAAAAGGAAAAAAGAGAGGGGGGAAGAGGAUUCGAACCCGCAACCUCCUGCUAGGAGGCAAAACCCACGGACCACUGUGCUGCUACUUCGGAGGUUAACAACAUAGAGAAGGCGCACCUCAUAUACAUGCGCCAUUACUACAUAAAAAAACAUUCUAAUGGCGCACCGCUCGGGGUGCGCCAUUCCUAAGCCGGGCCGCGCCCUCCUCUCUUCUCCCGCGGCCUCCCCCUACCCCUUUCCACCAAACAGCAGCUCCCCCACCUUCGUCCACGCAGCCCACGGAGCUCUGGCGGCGCUAGGGUUUUCUCCGCCUCUGCCUCCGCCUCAGAUAGCCGAGGUGCGAAAUAUUAUCAGCCCCAACACACUCAAGAAGGUGGUCUCUGAGCAGAUGAACUGGAUCCCAUUACAUCAGCAGAAGAAGGGAUGAAAAAGAAAGACUAACAAGGGUGCGAGCCAGCCGGCACUGAGUACGAUCCGUGCUCUGGACGGGCCACCUUCACCUAAGGAUAUCUCGAGGAGGGUGCAUGUGGCGGGUAGGCCGAUGCUACCGACUAAUCUACUCAAUGCUGCAACUGGUGCUAUGCGGAGUCUGCAUGACAGUGUUCUUUGUUUGGAGAAGCGGCGUCUCUCCGAGAAUAAUGUGGCAUACCCGGUUUUCGUGGCCAAGGUGCCAGAGGGCAAGGGCUUUGUCGAUAGGCCAUCGGGGGUAUGAUCGUCCUGCGGUUUGUUGACAUCUUCGCUAUGUUUAACCUUCAUCCGCUGCACUACACCUUCGUUCGGCUAUUUUCGCUGAGUAUGGAGAUGCGGAUCAUUAGAGACAAGACCCCGAACCUAGUGAUAGUCGACCCCUUCUAUAUGCGUGCCAAGAUCUUGGGCAGCGCUGGGGACCGGCAAGUCACGAGUUCAUACCUCGAAGGCGUCAUUCUGGCAAACUCAGAAAAGGAUAACUUCCUCGUGCCUUACUUUCCCUGGUAAGUUAUCCCCUCAUCGCCACGUAACAUAUGAUUUCUUAGAUUUUGAUCGUCCUUUUUUUCUAACAUUCCGUGUUUUGUGCAGUGACACACGUUGCACACUCAUCCUCUUAAGUCUGAAAUAUUCCACGGCCACGUAUUUCGACUCGGACCGUCAGUCAAAAAAAGACUACACAAAUAUCAAGAAAGUUCUUGAUGAAGCUCUUCCCGGCUAUGCCAUAUCUGGAGGCACCUUCAGCAGGACAAGUCUCAGGCACGGCAAGCACGUGUUCACCCACAAUACGACGUUCGCCUGCGUCAAGCAGCCGCCUGGCAGUCAGAAGGAUGCCUACUACGCCCUCCAUCACAUGCGGGCGAUCAUACGGGAUAGUAAUCACCUUCGGCUACCAAAUAAUCUCAAAUAUUGGGCCGCACACUUGUCGGCAAUCCAGGAUGCGGACAUCAGACAAGAAUUCUUUCGCAUCCAGUCGGAGUUUGCAGAAAUCAUCCAUCAAGAUGUCCUUCGUACCUCGGGGCAGUUCUACCUCAGAUCUCCGCUGUCCUAUACUGAGAUAGAUACAAUGCUACAAAUGCAGGCUGACAACGACCGCAAUUUCAUGACCAUCACGAAAGAUGGCGGCUUCAUCCACGUUCCCGUGAAUCGCUACUAAUUCAUGUUGCAAUAUUAAACUUUAAUGAACUGGUAUGUCUCUUUGGUUUGGACAGUCGUUCAACUUAUAUAUAAUCGAUGCUAUUUAUUAGUAGGACCAUGAAUCGUGCUGUUAUAGUUGUAAUAUUAAACUUUAAUGAACUUGUAUGUCUCUGUGAAUUGCUACUAACGUUUUGUUUGGCUAGUGCAUAGAGAUGCCGUCGUAUGUCGUGUACAAGGGUAAGGUUCCCGGAGUCUACGACGACUGGGAGGAGUGUCGGAGACAGGUUCACCGAUUCAGCGGUAACAGUUACAAUGGGUACACCACAAGGGCGGAGGCGGAAGUUAGAUACGCGCGCUAUCUACGGGAGAGAGGAGGGAGCGUUGGAGGAACCGGAUGAAGACCAGUUUCAUUGCGAUUAUGCUCAUCGUGAUGACCGCAUCUCUCUUCUAUAUGUGAUGGUAGUUUAGAUGGUCGAUAUAUCAACUUGUAAUGUGAAGACAAAUUCGCUGCUCGCGGUCUCGAGACUUGUAGUAUUCUAACUUUUUUCGGUAUUUUAAAUUCGGAGACUAAUAUGAUGAAUUGUAUUCGGAGACUAAUCUUCUAUUGUAUUCGAUAAAUCUGUUGUUUAUAUGUUGUGCUAUCCAUAUUCUGUGCAAUAAUAUAUUUUGUAAUAUGUGCAAAUAUCAGAAAAAAUAAAAUAAAUACCUAAUAUUCAUACUAGUGACGCAUCACUCAGCACACUAGUGCGCCAUUAGUAAGCGAGAGCAUAUGGGUAAAUAUGGCCCUGGGAGGCAUACUAAUGGCGCACCACAAGCUAUACUAAUGGCGCACCAGGAUAUAUACUAAUGGCGCACCAGUAUCUAUACUAAUGGCGCACCGUGAGCAAUACUAAUGGCGCACCGUGAGCAAUACUAAUGGCGCACCGUGAGCAAUACUAAUGACGCACCGUGAGCAAUACUAAUGGCGCACUACCUGGUGCGUCAUUAGUAUACCAGAUACUAAUGGCGCACUUGUAAUGCGCCAUUAGUAAAAAAAUCUAAUGGCGUGAUGCUAGUGGCGCACCUAUAGUGCGCCAUUAGUAGCAAAAAAUGGUGCGCCAUUAGAAGGCCUUUUCCUAGUAGUGAGCUGCCCUCCAUGCUUGGGCUUCUUCCUCUUGUGCAAAAGCAAAAUCAAAGCAAUGUCUUCUUCAUCCUCCAAAUCGUAUUCCCCAUCGGAUGAAUCCUCAAUCAAAACCAUCUACAAACAAACUAGACCGUAUUAAAAAGUGUAAUCCUAAACUACAAACACAAAAAGCAAACAAAAAGUUGAAUACACAUUACCUCGAACACCUUGCGGGCGGCCGAACCGGUGGGUGGCAGCUGCGUCGCCGGAGCAAGCCUCUCCUAGUUGCUGCUGCCGUCGCUGGGUGUUGCAGGCGGCCAAGGGGAAGCAUAAGAGCGUCGUCGGGGUCGCGGCGGCGGCAUAAUCGGCGUCGGUGCCCCGGAUUCGUACAGCGGCGGCGGCGGCGGCAGAUCAACAAUUUAGGGCACUAAACCUCUUGCCUACUUGGGCAGCGGUAUUCCGACGACGAUGGGCAGCGGUAUUCCGGCAGGGGCGAGGUGCGGGAGGGACCGGCGGUGGACGGGCAGCGGAUUUUGGGCAGGGGCGCGGCCUACGGGCGGCGGAUUUGCGGCGGCGGCGGCGGAUUUGCACCGGCGGGGUCGAGGGCGGGAGAGGCUGGGAAAUUUUCGGGUGGCAGUUCGGCUGCGCGCGCGCGUCGUUGGGAAAAUAGGGCAGCCACACAAGUGUUGUAUAUUUGCAACAGUUGGACCAAAUUUAGGGCAGUGUUGUAAAAAAUAUAGGGCAGUUGAUGAAGAUAGGGCAGCUGUUGGAGCACGUUUUUGCCUCUUUUCUGCCCUAUAUGACAGUUUUUAUGCCCCACUGCCCUAUAUAGGGCAGCUGUUAGAGAUGCUCUAACACUCACAUAUGACGGUCACUAAACCUCUUGCCCACUUAGGUUGGCUCCCUGCUCAGCUUGCUCGUUUAGCUUUUUUUUCAGCUCGCUCGACUACUAGCUUAGAAAAAAAUACUGUCCUUUUUCUUAUUUAAAAAUGUUCUCUCUUCUGCUUCUUUCCCACGCCCCCUUGCAACCCUGUUCUUUCUUCUUCUUCUUCCCCAAGAAGAAAACAACGACCCUGUCAUGGAGAAAUCCUCAUUGAGACCGGCGGUGAGAGUGCUAAGCAUGAGCUCGUCGGAGAUUUUGGUGUCGAUGUCGCGAAGCUCAUCGGCGAGCAUCUUGAGCCGCAUGCAAUAGUCAACGAUGGUGGAGUCAUCCUGGUGGCACCUGAAGAGCUCUUGUUGCAAGAAAACAAGACACUGAAGCUUGUUAUCGGUGAAGAGCGCAUUGAUCUUGGUCCACACGGUGCAAGUAUCGUCGUCAUCGGUGACGACCGUGUGGAAGAUGUCCUUCAAGAUGGUUUGGUAGAACCACCGAAUGAGAGUGACCUCGAUGGCGGACCACUCCGGGACGCCCUUCAUGUACUCAGCGUCGACGAAGCCAUCUAUGUGUUCGGUGAGGUAGUACUCGCGGAAGACAAGGUUGAAGUAGGUCUUCCACGCGUAGUACGAGGAGGUGGAGGAGUCGAGGCGGAUGGGAACACGGGCAUCGAUGUUGAUGUCGCGGAUGGCUUCGACGAAGGGUGCAGGGCCGGCGAAGGGGUUGGUGCUGGAGGUGGCCGGCGAAUUCAUGGGGCCGGCUGCGGGGGAGAGAUGGCGAGCGGCGGCGGCGGCUCGGGUGGGAGAGGGGUAGCGGAAGCGAUGAGGCGUGCGGCAGCGGCGGCGGCUGCGAUAGGGUUUAGGUUAGGAACUUUUAGGAUGAUACCAUGUAGAGAGAGAUAUGUUUGGCAAUGCAACUCAUAAUAUUGAUUGAAUAUGCACAGAUAUACAGAAUACAAUAUGAACCUCUAUCUCAACUAUACAAAGGCUAGGAGAUAGACCAAACUAUGUACAUAUACACAUGCCCGACCCUAGGGGGGGGGGGGAGGNNNNNNNNNNNNNNNNNNNNNNNNNNNNNNNNNNNNNNNNNNNNNNNNNNNNNNNNNNNNNNNNNNNNNNNNNNNNNNNNNNNNNNNNNNNNNNNNNNNNNNNNNNNNNNNNNNNNNNNNNNNNNNNNNNNNNNNNNNNNNNNNNNNNNNNNNNNNNNNNNNNNNNNNNNNNNNNNNNNNNNNNNNNNNNNNNNNNNNNNNNNNNNNNNNNNNNNNNNNNNNNNNNNNNNNNNNNNNNNNNNNNNNNNNNNNNNNNNNNNNNNNNNNNNNNNNNNNNNGGGGGGGGGGGGAGGGGCGGCCGCCACGGGCCCCCGGAACCAGAGGGGCCCCCAACUCAGGUACGUGUGAGCGCCCCACCCCCAAUCUAUCGGAGACGCCACCAGAGCAGUUACAAAGUAGCUGCGGUAUGGCUCCGGGAAGAAGAAAGUCGAAACGGUAUUUCUUUUAGCUAAAUGGGCUUUGGGCCUUUGUUUCCUUUAGCUAAAUCGUGGUGUUAAGUGGUUGUGGGCUUCCUCUAAAAGAAGUAGUGGUGGGUUAUGUGUAAGAAAAAAUGAUGACGGGCCACACCAAGCUAGAGGAGGGAGAGGAGCACAUCGGUACAAAACUUAUAAAAGAAAGAAAAAAGAAGAUUGGUGAAUUCACAUGCCCACGUCUUGCCUGGUAUUACAACCCUGGCAAACUAAUAAGUUUUUCUUUUUUAUUGUAAAAUAAAUCUAUUUUUUUGCAAGUGUAGCAAACUAAUACUCUAUCUUGAUAAGAAAAAUAAACAUAUCAAAUUCAGUAUAUGUGCGGAGUCCCUAAAGAAAUGUAUCGUAGCGGAGAGACAAUAGCAACACGCACGGUGACGACGGACUGAUGACAUGAGCGUGCACUAUGGUCAUACUAUGAUAGCCAAAUAUGGAUGACUCAGUUGGUACUCUCGUCUUCAUAACUUUAUAUCAAUAAACACAAAUUGAAUUGAUUGUUCUACUUUGGUGUUAUGAAUUGAGAGUUGAUUGUUCUACUUUGGUGUUAUGAAUUGAGAGUUGAUUUUCUACUUUGGUGUGAAUAUUCAUAUGUGUCAUUUUAAUUGUUAUUUUUCUUCUUUAUAUUUUUGUAUAUAUGAACUUUUUUUUUCAUCUAUUAAGUUUUUUCAUUCAUAAAUUUAUUGUUUGCUCGGUCAUCAUGCUUGCGCGUAACUUGCCUGCAAAUGGGUAAAUGCAAUUUAGAUGAUCUUCUGUAUUCUGCUGCCUCAUUGUGACGACAAACUCUUGAUAUCAUGUGUGUCCCGGUCAGAAAUGACCCAUCACCGCCCUCAACGAGUCCUACCAAGAUGCGGUAUUGUGCACAUUAGCCCCCGCAUCGUCGUGAUCUUAUAGAACACAUGUGUCUGAUUCUCUUUCCAUAGAUAUCAUCGUUAAAGACCUUGUGUGCAAUCUUUUUGUGUGUGUGUGGUGGGGGGCUACCGGCCUUGCAUAUACAUGCAAACUACUUACUCCGUUUUUAAAUAUAAGUCUUUAAAGAGGUUUCAUGAAUGAACUACAUAUGGAUGUAUAUAGACAUAUUUUAGAGUGUAGAUUCACUUAUUUUGCUUCUAUAUGUAAACUCCUAAUGAAAUAUCUUAAAAGACUUAUAUUUAGGAACGGAGGGAGUAUAUGUUUAACAAGAUCAUUGGGCGCGGACCGCGGAGGUAGCGUAUUUCCACGAGCCAGCCGGUGACGACGAUGUAGAAGCUUCUUUCAGGGCCCCCCGUCCAUGCGCUGUGCAAGUACAAGUCUGACCGACGUGAGGCGCUGUACCAAACGAAGCGUAGCAAGUACAGCCAGAAUCAUCUGAAGCUUAGCAGCCAGCGGCCGCCGGCCGUUACCUGCAGCAUGCAUGUGACUGCACACUACGCCAAGAAGUCCGCGGCUAUAGACAACGCUCUGAAAAUAACUCUUUUGCACAGACGCGUGGAAUUCCGUGGUGGCCCGUCGGAUUUUCCCCCCGCAAAUAAAGAUCGCGCGCGCAACGUGGAACAGCUGGAUAGGGUAGCACGAGCCACGAACGGUGCAUCGUCAGCGCAUUUCCCUGCGCUGCACCCGAGCUGAGCAGCUAUAAAUUGAGCUGCAAGCCCAGCAGCUUCAUCACACAGGCGUCUUGCAUAGCUCUCCUUGCGCUAUACUACAUUUCACGAGCCGACUAGCUGAAGGUGAGUUAGCAUGGCGAGGCCUGCUGCCCUCGCGGUGUGCGCCGCCGCGCUCCUGCUCGCCGUGGCGGUGGGCGGCGCCGCGGCGCAGGGCGUGGGCUCGGUCAUCACGCGGUCGGUGUACGCGAGCAUGCUGCCCAACCGCGACAACUCGCUGUGCCCGGCCAGGGGGUUCUACACGUACGACGCCUUCAUCGCCGCAGCCAACACCUUUCCGGGCUUCGGCACCACCGGCAGCGCCGAUGACAUCAAGCGCGAGCUCGCCGCCUUCUUCGGCCAGACCUCCCACGAGACCACCGGUACGUCAGUCAGAGAGUGUUAAUUACUUGUUUUCGAUUGUUGCUUUCAACAGAAUUCGUGGAACUUUUGAUUCGGAUAUGAAGGGCUUGAUUGAAUCGUGUACGUGCUUGUGCAUGCCGUGUCGACGUGUAGGAGGGACGAGAGGCGCCGCCGACCAGUUCCAAUGGGGCUACUGCUUCAAGGAAGAGAUAAGCAAGGCCACGUCUCCACCCUACUAUGGACGGGGACCCAUCCAAUUGACAGGGUAAGCAAAAUCCCAUGUUAUGGCCUAUAUGGCUACAUGACAAUCUCUAAAGCAUCUUCCACAUGAAAAACAAGUAUAUUGGUCAACACUGAUAUCACAGACUGAAAUAAUCGGUAGAAAAAAUCUACUUGAAAAGUACAGCAGUGUAGUUGACAUUCUAGCUAGCCGCGCUAAUCCCGACCUGAUCCAAAUAAGCUUUCGCUUUCGCGUGCAAUAUACAGUUAUUAAUAACAAUAUAAAUACUACCAGGCUUCGGCGAUGAGAUUGUUCUGAUGAACCUAUAACUCUUCCUCGUGUGAUUGACCAGGCGGUCCAACUACGAUCUCGCCGGGAGAGCGAUCGGGAAGGACCUUGUGAGCAACCCGGAUCUGGUGUCCACGGACGCGGUGGUGUCCUUCAGGACGGCGAUGUGGUUCUGGAUGACGGCGCAGGGCAACAAGCCGUCGAGCCACAACGUCGCCCUACGCCGCUGGACGCCGACGGCCGCCGACACCGCUGCCGGUCGGGUUCCAGGCUACGGUGUAAUCACCAAUAUCAUCAACGGCGGGCUCGAGUGCGGCAUGGGCCGGAACGACGCCAACGUCGAUCGCAUCGGCUACUACACGCGCUACUGCGGCAUGCUCGGCACGGCCACCGGGGGCAACCUCGACUGCUACACCCAACGGAACUUCGCUAGCUAGAAGUAUCCACGUCUGACGCCCAUCACAGUGUAUGCACGUGUUACGAAUAAAUGGCAAUACCGUACAUAUGCCAUCGUGGAAUAAGGAAUUCAACAUUUCAUCUAGUUGAUGGUGUCGUGUGGUAAUACGAGAGUCGUCGUAACAGAUUAUGUAAAGUGUUCAAUAAAAUCAUGCUGUAUCAACUGUUUUGUUUUGUUGUACACAAGGCGAAUGUAUAACAGGGAGGCCGUUGUGAUAGCUGUUGUUGCAUGUCCAAACCAUUGCAUGAUUUAAAGAUUAAAAGAUAAACAUGACACAAAGGAUGUAACAUAUUUACUACUUCGAUCAAGCCAUUCUCUUUUUCCGAUAAGAGGAUAGCCGGUGUCCGCAUCACCAUGAUACACAUAAUCAUAUAAUUUGUUUAAGUAUAAACAUCUAAAAAAAUGUCUCAGUAGCAAAGAAAAAUAAAAAUGAUAGGACAAUAAAAAAGUUCUUCUCGACGCGAAUUUUUUUAGUCUGACUAAUGAAUUAGGAUUUCAUUAGCGUGAUUUACCUACCAUGAGAAAUUUGAGAGUUCCGACGAAUUUGAGAGUUCAAAUUCCGUUCGUUGUUGUGCUUAGUGCCAGCUGUCAACUGGAUCCUUUUCCUGACAACAAUCGUCAUGCCCGUAGGGGCAUUUAUGUCUUAUCAUGUUGGAUUGCCCUCGCUAUAAAUAGGCCCCCUCCCACAACCAUUAGUUGGUUGGCUGCUCCGAGAGAGAGAGAGAUCAACAAGUGUCAUCUAGAGCAACCCUUCCUUUGACAACUUUGAGAGAAUCCAAAGUGAGGAAAAACCCACAAACCAAGUGUUUCAAAGUGAUUGAGCAUCACUAAAUAAGUUGUCAUUUGUGCAACUGACACAUGCUACCUUUGAAGACUAUGUAUCUUCAAGACGGUUAGGUGUCAUGGUCUAGAGUAUCCAAGACCCAUUUUGAAUUGCCGGGUGACCAAGUCUAUGACUGAAGACUUACCACGAGUGAUUGGCCGGAUUUAAGUGACUUGAGUUUAAGGAGAAUACAGUGAAGACUUGGUGUCUUCUGGUUUCAGUUCCACGGGGCUCCAACCAGACGUACAACUGUCACGGCAGUUGGAAUUGGUAAGACAAAUCUUGUGUCUUCGGCGAGCAAUCUGGUUCUAUGUCCUCAAUGUUUUCAUUUCUUCAUUCUUACAUUGAUAAAAUUGCUUCCUGUUCUGUCAAGACUUUGUUAGGGCAUAUUUUGUUCUAAGUAGUUUUGGUGAUUGAUGACAACACCUCUGCAGACUAAUCGUGUGCAUUGAGCAUUUCAUAUAAUACUUCACAUGGCACAAGAUGUUUCGUCGCCCCUCGGUGUUGUUGGAGGACGAUGUUUCCUACGGUUCUCUUUGGUAGUGUUGAGUAGUAGGAAAGUCAUACUAUUAAGAGGGGGUCCGCGUCGGAAAGGUUUGGGUGGAAUCAACUCACACACGCGCUCAUUUUCUUUCCACCACCUUCUCUUUGCGGCAAUGGAGCACCUGCUUGGUCUAUCCUUGCAUUUGCAAAGGGUCCAGCGGUAGUACCGCUCAAGCUGAGCGGUAGUACCGCUCGCUAGCGGUAGUACCGCUCCAGAUGAGCGGUAGUACCGCUAGCUGAGCAGUAGUACCGCUCCAGUCGAGCGGUAGUACCUCUUAGGGACGGUAGUACCUCCCUCUCUGAGCGGUUGUACUUCGUCGGACUUUUUGCGAAUACUUUUCCAGUGGUGCUAGGAUCAGUAGUAGUAUUCCUACUACCGUGGCUUUGAGUCUGCCUAGCGGUAGUACCGCCCAGGUCUGGCGGUAGUACCGCUGGGGCUUGCGGUAGUACCGCUCCCUCCAGGCGGUAGUACCGCUAGGGACAGCGGUAGUACCGCUUCCCCCAAGCGGCAGUACCGCUAGGGGCGUGCUGACAGUGGGGGUAACGUUUGGACUUGUUCUCCCACUAUAUAAAGGGUUCACCUACCUCACGAACCCUACCUUUGACCCUCCAAACUCCAUUGUUGCUCCCUAAGCUCAUAUGUGCCCGAUCUCUCUCCCUAGCCAAUCAAACUUGUUGAUUUCCUAGGGAUUGGUUGAGAAGGCCAAGAUCUACACUUCCGCCAAGAGAAAAUUGAUUCCCCCACUAAUCCCUUGCGGAUCUUGUUACUCUUGGGUGUUUGAGCACCCUAGACGGUUGAGGUCACCUCGGAGCCACAUUCCAUUGUGGUGAAGCUCCGUGGUCUUGUUGGGAGCCUCCAAGCUUUGUGUGGAGAUAACCCCAACCUUGUUUGUAAAGGUUCAGUCGCCGCCUUCAAGGGCACCCAUAGUGGAAUCGCGGUACCUUGCAUUGUGUGAGGGCGUGAGGAGAAUACGGUGGCCCUAGUGGCUUAUUGGGGAGCAUUGUGCCUCCACACCGCUCCAACGGAGACGUACUUCCUGUCAAUGGGAAGGAACUUCGGUAACACAUCCUCAUCUUCAUCGGUUCCUCUUGCGGUUAUCUCUUACCUUUACAUUGUGUAUACUAUUGUUGAAGAGUAUUUCUUACUUGCUUUAGUGGUCAUAGUCGGUAGCAUCAUAUAGGUUGCUCACCUAGUUGUUAUUAUAGAGAACCUUUAUGGUGCUAACCCUAACUUGUUAAGAAAAGCUAAAAAUUGGUAGUUGCCUAUUCACCCCCCUCUAGUCAACCAUAUGGAUCCUUUCAAUUGGUAUCAGAGCCACGUAUCAGAGCCACGUCUCUUUAUUAAGGGUUUCACCACCCGAAGAGUAUGGAUGACGGUGAGGAGGGUGUCCAUGGACCACCCGAGGCCGUGGCCUUCAUUUCGGUCACAAGGGACGACUUGGAUGCGGCUAUGGCCAACCUCCGGACGACCUUGACGAACGAAUUCAAGACCAUGUUUAAAGAGUUGCUUGAGGGGAUUAAAAGUUCUCCCGAACCAGCGUUGGUGGUUAAAUCUGCCAACACGGAAUCGGAGGCAAAUUCCUCCAAGGAAGCGGCUAAAGGUAUGCAACCUUCUUCCCCUCUCGACAAUAAUGGGACUCGAACCUAUGCCUAUGUUCCACCUCCCCUGGUCUAUGGAGGACCGAUUCCUACAUUGAGUAUCAAUCAUCUUGGUCCUCUCCUAAGAUUGUUAAGGGUGAGUUUGCUAACUGGGUGUUUUGCAUUAAGUAUCAUUUGAUUCACAACUCAACAAACUUAUGGAGAAUCAUUGAGCAAGGUUACUAUCCGCAUGACCCAAGCAACCUCACUCCAAGAGAAGAAGCGGACAAUCAAUAUAAUCACCCUGCAUUAUUCAUUCUCCAGUCCGCAGUGCCUCCUGAAGAUCUUCCUCACUUACUGAAAGGACGUGGAUGUCGCCUAGAGGGNNNNNNNNNNNNNNNNNNNNNNNNNNNNNNNNNNNNNNNNNNNNNNNNNNNNNNNNNNNNNNNNNNNNNNNNNNNNNNNNNNNNNNNNNNNNNNNNNNNNNNNNNNNNNNNNNNNNNNNNNNNNNNNNNNNNNNNNNNNNNNNNNNNNNNNNNNNNNNNNNNNNNNNNNNNNNNNNNNNNNNNNNNNNNNNNNNNNNNNNNNNNNNNNNNNNNNNNNNNNNNNNNNNNNNNNNNNNNNNNNNNNNNNNNNNNNNNNNNNNNNNNNNNNNNNNNNNNNNNNNNNNNNCCUAGAGGGGGGGGGGGGCGGUCACCGAUACCCGUACAAAUUGCUCGGGGCAAUCUCCAUAACCUAAUUGGAGACCCCGACGCUUGGCCGGAGCUUUACACCACAAUAAUUGAGCUCCGAGACACCACCAAGCUUCUAGGGCGCCAAAGCAUCCAUGAAGAACAAUAUCUAGGGUACUAAGUACCAAAGAUAAUAAGCUUCUCAAACUUCACUUCCACGUAUCACCAUGGAGAACUCAAACGAUGCAACUAAUGCAAUGGUAAGGGCACACGGAGUGCCCAAGUCCUUCUCUCCCAAAUCCCACCAAAACAACUAAUUCUACGGAGGAGAAUGAGAGGAAGAACGAAGAAGAACAUGAAGAAUUCCAAGAUCUAGACCCAAGGGGUUCCCCUCACUUAGAGGAGAAAGUGAUUGGUGGAAAUGUGGAUCUAGAUCUUCUCUCUCUUUUCCCUCAAGAACUAGCAAGAAUAAUUGGAGGGAUUGAGAGUUAGAAAGCUCGAAGAAGGUCAACAAUGGCGGAAGAACACGAGCUAAAGAGAUAAGGUUUAAUGGGGAAGAGGACCCCCUUUUAUAGGUGGGGAAAAAUCCAACCGUUAAGCCUCACAACCCGCACACAGCGGUACUACCGCUCAUGGGAGCGGUACUACCGCUCGGUAGGUUCACCAACCAUGCUGAGGCCAAAAAGGAUGCAAAAAACAGUCCGACGGAGCGGUACUACCGUUCCUGGAGCUGUACUACCGCUAGGGAGCGGUAGUAAAAAAUUACUACCGCUCCGGGGGCGGUACUACCUCUUCGGGGGCGGUACUACCGCUACAGGAGCGGUACUACCGCUCGAUACUGAAACUGCUAUAACUUUCACAUGUGGACUCCAAAUUCAACGAAACCAAGUUUGUUGAAAAGAUAACGUCAUGGGCUAACACAAUCUUGAUAGAAAUAUCAAGAAGAAGCAAGUGAGAAAAGUCCCAUAAGACAAUGGUGAGAACCCUUCUUCGAAUAAGACCGGUAAAAACUCCCAACAUCGAAAACAUCAUAGAAGAUGCAUAUGGACUCCGUUUUCGAUGAACUCGAGCUUGUCAUGAAGAUGACCAUAAGCUCUAAAACUCACAAAGAGAAAUACCAAACAAGAACCAAAAAGUAUGAUGCAAGGAUGCAAAUGGUUUGAGCUCUCAACAAAUGAUAUGAUCAAGCUACUCACUUGAGAGCCCCCCUUGACAGUACGACAAUCUAUCAUAAAACAGAAAACCUACCAAGGGCAAACCUAUACCUUGCACCUCGUCCUCUUGAGCUAGAUGACGAGGAUCUUGGCUUCCUCAAGAUGGACCACCUUUCUUGCUUGCGUUGGCUUGAUGAAGACUAGUUGAUUGCUCCCCUAUACACACUAUGGGUGAGCCGCUCUUCAGCAUAUCUUCACAAGUCCAUUGCCACCAUCCUCCAUCACUUGACGUCAUCCUCCAUGGGUUGUAUGAGAUAUUACUCUUGCUUGCGUUGGCUUGAUGAAGACUAGUUGAUUGCUCCCCCAUACACACUAUGGGUGAGCCGCUCUUCAGCAUAUCUUCACAAGUCCAUUGCCACCAUCCUCCGUCACUUGACGUCAUCCUCCAUGGGUUGUAUGAGAUAUUCCUCUUGACGCAAGCCCAUGGAAACACACCUAACCCCACAUAUAAUUCUCAAUAAGACCAUGGGUUAGUACACAAAUACAUACUGGACAAUGCUUACCAUACCAUGGGAUCACUUGAUCCCUCUCAGUACAUCUUGUACGCUUUGUGUGUUGAUCAUCUUGAUUUACUCUUUGUCUGACGAUCUUGAUCAACCUUGUGUCUCCAUGACCAUUCUUUGGAUAAUACCUUGAAGACCACCUUGGUCAUCAUAUAAACUCCUUGAACCCAACAGAUGGACUUCAAGAAGUGCCUAUGGACAAAUCCUAUAAAUAUAACUUAAGGCAACCAUUAGUCCAUAGGAAUUGUCAUCAAUUACCAAAACCACAUAUGGAGAUAUAUGCUCUAACAAUCUCCCCCAUUUUGGUAAUUGAUGACAACCACUUCAAGAGAGUUUAUAUAAGUAAAUAAGCAUAACCAAGCGCACACAUACAAAGCAAUAAUGCAUGCGUGCGGGAUGUAAAUGCCUACGCAAUAAAAGCAAAACGCUCUAAACAUAUCCAAACUAAACUCUCUAAACUUCUCCCCCAUUGGCAUCGAUUGCCAAAAUGGACGAAAAGUUUAGAAAUUCAAUAUAGUAGGUGGUCCUCUAAAAAGUGUGUACUUCUCAGCAAAUGAGUGCAAAUAAAUACGCAAAUACAAUGAUAAGUAGUUGGAGGAAAACAAACUAUAUUGAGGACCCAAAUAUUGCAAAAAGAAGGAUCAUAUGGCACAAAGACAUACAAAAUAGAAGCAAGCAAUCAAAAGAUACCAUAUGGAACAAACAAACACAUGGUCCUUCGAACCACAUGAAUAAAAGAUACUAUGAUAAAGGCAAAGGAGUGUUUUUAUCAAAACUAGAGAAGCUCCCCGUGAUUUGUGCACUAAUAAGAGAUUUUUUAUUUGAUACAAGUGCACAAAAUAGGAUCGUUGCUCCCCUAAAAUUAAUAAACACACACAACGAGUGCAAGAAGAUAGAUGAGACAAUAAGCAUAUCACUUGCACAAAACAAAUGGUUGAGCAACAUGUAAAAGAAGCAACUUAAGAAUAGGCUCAACCAAAAUAAUGUGUGUGAGUCAUGGCAAAGCACUUGAGAUGACUAAGAUAAGGAUGAACAUUACUCAUCAACAUAGUCUUGAUGAAAUGAUAAACAAAGUGCAAGACAUAUCAUUCCCACACACACAUACUAGAAAAUGGGUUCACAAGCUUACUAAUAAAAAAAAA